Molecule: ribosomal RNA, 305 nt
Filed under: uncultured bacterium
Lineage: Bacteria
Description: bacterial SSU rRNA
Rfam family: Bacterial small subunit ribosomal RNA
Source: RNAcentral
CGCCUACGGGACGCAGCAGUGAGGAAUAUUGGGCAAUGGACGCAAGUCUGACCCAGCAACGCCGCGUGAAGGAAGAAGGCUUUCGGGUUAUAAACUUCUUUUCAGGGGGAAGAGCAGAAGACGGUACCCCUUGAAUAAGCCACGGCUAACUACGUGCCAGCAGCCGCGGUAAUACGUAGGUGGCAAGCGUUGUCCGGAUUUACUGGGUGUAAAGGGCGUGCAGCCGGAGAGACAAGUCAGAUGUGAAAUCCGCAGGCUCAACCUGCGAACUGCAUUUGAAACUGUUUCCCUUGAGUAUCGGAGAG